Long non-coding RNA from Sus scrofa (pig), 1082 nucleotides. RefSeq lists it as uncharacterized. NCBI's taxonomy places the organism in Eukaryota, Metazoa, Chordata, Mammalia, Artiodactyla, Suidae. The record is from RefSeq and is a predicted model, not a curated record.
AGAGCUUCUCUAAAUAGUUGGCUACAGAAAAAAAGGGGGACAACUAAUGAAAACAAUCUGGACCAGAGCAAAGAUGCUUAAUAACUGAUUUAGGCAACAGUCAUUGAUAGAUGCUAAAAUCAUUAGAGGAUUGAUGAAUUUUACACAGAAAGGAUAUUUGCCAUCACUUGUAUAUUUUAAUCAGUCUUAGAUCAUGAAACGUGGGACAGCUAUAAAUUAUGUCUCCUGACAGUAAUGCAAUUUGAACUACACAGUAAUAUUUAGGAAGCAGUGUAUUUUUGUCUAAAAAUUAGUUGAAUCUGAAUCUAAUCAAGCUUUUUGCUCCAACUUCCAGUUUAUCAGAAAUAAAGGAAAACAUCACAUCAGAAGAAAAUAACCUGACAAAUCCAGAAUGUGGGCCAAUGUAUAGAGGAAUGGCCUUGUUCUUCAACAAAUUUCAGCUCCACCGGCCUUGGCUUGGAAGUACCACAUGUAGCUCAUCUGGGAUGGAGGAAGCUGGAAGGCAGGAAAAGAUAUAAAUAAGCUCCCAAACCAGGACCUUCUGUGAAUAGGAUCCCAGUGCUUCUGGCACCACCCAGCCACUCAGAGGAGCUGAACCUCCUGACCCUUUACCCUGAGAGCUCCACAUGGGAUCAUGAUACCAAGGCACCAAAGGACCCAAGCACUUGUCCUCAGGAGGAGGUAAUGGAUGCAGCAGUGAGAGCAAGCCAAAAGGUGUGAUUCCCAGCCAUGCAUCCAGACCAGUGGGUCUGAACCUCAUUACCACAAAGAGUCCUUUUUAUUAUUUCCCCACAGAGCUUGCUAGAAGAUACUAUAAUACACAUCAUCACCAUCCUGUCAUAAUUCCUCUUCUACAUGAACCACCCAAUGCUACCACAUCUGAACUAUUAUAAUUUGGAAGUUUAGCUUAAUCAUAGGUGGACUUAUGGUUUUUCACUGGGCCGUUUAUAUACUGAAUACUAAGCAGAAAAAAAAAACCCAGCAAAAUAAAGCAGCAACUAAGAGCACAGGCUCUAGGAGUUCUCUUGUGGUGCACCAGGUUAAGGAUCUAGCGUUGUCACACCCUACAGCUACUUGGGUUG